CAUCCUUUAAAGAAAGCGUAAUAGCUCACUAGUCGAGUCGGCCUGCGCGGAAGAUUUAACGGGGCUAAAACUGAUAACCGAAGCUGCGGAUGCGUGAUUUAUCACGCAUGGUAGAGGAGCGUUCUGUAAGCCGUUGAAGGUGGAUUGAGAAGUCUGCUGGAGGUAUCAGAAGUGCGAAUGCUGACAUGAGUAACGAUAAUGAGGGUGAAAAACCCUCACGCCGGAAGACCAAGGUUUCCUGUCCAACGUUAAUCGGGGCAGGGUUAGUCGACACCUAAGGCGAGGCCGAAAGGCGUAGUCGAUGGAAAACAGGUUAAUAUUCCUGUACUUCUUAUAGUUGCGAUGGAGGGACGGAGUAGGCUAGAUCAGCGCGGCGAUGGUUGUCCGCGUUUAAGGCUGUAGGCAAGUGGCUUAGGUAAAUCCGGGCUGCUCACUUUAGUGUGAAUGCUGAGAGCUGAUGACGAACGCUUCUUUGUAAGCGUGAAGUGAUUGAUGCCAUGCUUCCAAGAAAAUCUUCUAAGCUUCAGACUAUAAGGAAUCGUACUCCAAACCAACACAGGUGGUCAGGUAGAGAAUACCCAGGCGCUUGAGAGAACUCGGGUGAAGGAACUAGGCAAAAUGGCACCGUAACUUCGGGAGAAGGUGCGCUCUCGCCGGUGAUGGGACUUGCUCCCUUAGCUAGUGAGAGCCGAAGUGACCAGGCCGCUGCGACUGUUUACUAAAAACACAGCACUCUGCAAACUCGUAAGAGGACGUAUAGGGUGUGACGCCUGCCCGGUGCCGGAAGGUUAAUUGAUGGGGUUAGCUUCGGCGAAGCUCUUGAUCGAAGCCCCGGUAAACGGCGGCCGUAACUAUAACGGUCCUAAGGUAGCGAAAUUCCUUGUCGGGUAAGUUCCGACCUGCACGAAUGGCGUAACGAUGGCGGCACUGUCUCCACCCGAGACUCAGUGAAAUUGAAAUUGCGGUUAAGAUGCCGUAUACCCGCGGCUAGACGGAAAGACCCCGUGAACCUUUACUAUAGCUUGGCACUGAACUUUGAAUCUAUCUGUGCAGGAUAGGUGGGAGGCUUUGAAGCGUGGACGCUAGUCUGCGUGGAGCCACCCUUGAAAUACCACCCUGGUAUAUUUGAGGUUCUAACUCAGGUCCGUUAUCCGGAUCGAGGACAGUGUCUGGUGGGUAGUUUGACUGGGGCGGUCUCCUCCCAAAGAGUAACGGAGGAGCACGAAGGUACCCUCGGCAUGGUCGGAAAUCAUGCUAUGAGUGCAAUGGCAUAAGGGUGCUUGACUGCGAGACUCACAAGUCGAGCAGGUACGAAAGUAGGUCAUAGUGAUCCGGUGGUUCUGUAUGGAAGGGC
This 1354-nucleotide ribosomal RNA is filed under the name seawater metagenome. RNAcentral describes it as "bacterial LSU rRNA". It matches the Rfam family "Bacterial large subunit ribosomal RNA", at positions 1117 to 2442 of the family's 2925-position model. The record is from RNAcentral.